Long non-coding RNA from Ornithodoros turicata, 894 nucleotides. RefSeq lists it as uncharacterized. NCBI's taxonomy places the organism in Eukaryota, Metazoa, Arthropoda, Arachnida, Ixodida, Argasidae. The transcript is spliced from 3 exons. The record is from RefSeq and is a predicted model, not a curated record.
GCGUCAUGCCAGUCAGUUUCCACGCAUCCGUUCGACCGAAGAUGGUAGCCAGUAAUGGGGCAUCGUUGGUGCUGGUGUACCUAAAGGAAGCUUUCGCGACGGAAUUUGUAACAGACGUUGACCAGCGGGCGAGCUACAGUCCAUCCUGUGGAGCGGUCAACGCACGUGUGGCUUCUCGAUACAUGCAGGGGGGACAACGAUGCCGACGUGCACGACCGUGAAGCGUCUUGUGGGGGUCGUAAAAGUCUUCGGCAGCAUAAAAGCGCAGUGGCGGCGCAGCGCCGGGCAUGGUCGCUUAUUUUUCGCAACCCAUAGCCAUACUCACCGCUAAUUCCUCGUAGAUGCAAGUGCUGUACGCACGCAUCAGUGUUUUCUUCAGCAUGAGUUUUGUUCACAUCUGACUGAUAAGAUGGCACAGAGGCAGUGAGCGGUCAGUGAUCUCAGAGCAGGUUCGUGAAAGAGUUCCAAAACUGGUGAGCACGUGAGUCGCAAGUAGUGCCAAUCCAUAGCGACCGGACCGGCGACCAUGUCACUGCUUCGAUACUUCAAGCCUACAGAUCAACGGUUCAGCAACACGCACCAUACCGCUUCGCUGCCAUCUCCAGAAAACUCCCGAACGUCAGGUUUCAUCAAUCUAAGCCACCACAGCAAGGCGAAGUCCAACACCAAUCACGAGUGCAAGGAAGAUGAUCUACACCCAGUCAUCUACAACUUACAACUACUUAACCUACAUCUCUUAACGACAUCUCCUAACCUACAAAUAAUAAUAAUAAACAGCAGCUCUGCGUUUCGUCCCGUUACUGACACAAAGUUUGGGACUGAAAAGAACUCUUCCCUGGAAGCGAUGUGUCACCCUCGAAUGAGCGUAGUUUCGUCAACCGACUGAAGACCGAG